Molecule: ribosomal RNA, 207 nt
Filed under: uncultured bacterium
Lineage: Bacteria
Description: partial 16S ribosomal RNA
Rfam family: Bacterial small subunit ribosomal RNA
Source: RNAcentral
UGCGUAGGCGGCGCGGUAAGUCGGGUGUGAAAUCUCGGAGCUUAACUCCGAAACUGCAUUCGAUACUGCCGUGCUUGAGGACUGGGGAGGAGACUGGAAUUUACGGUGUAGCGGUGAAAUGCGUAGAUAUCGUAAGGAAGACCAGUGGCGAAGGCGGGUCUCUGGACAGUUCCUGACGCUGAGGCACGAAGGCCAGGGGAGCAAACG